UUCGUAGUCUUUAAGUUCUCUCUCGCACAGCUUCGCUUCACAUCGUCAUCUCUACCGGAUUUGUUUUGAAUUAUUGAUUUUUUCUUCAUUCUUUGUAAACGCAUCAUCUUCUUCUCGUCUGAAAUCGUCAAGCACACGAUGGUGUUAAAGUUUCAGCGGCGAGUAAAACCAAAUCGUCUCUAUUCCACUUCAUACCGUUGAUUGUUGUCAGAUCUCUGUAACUACUGUUUAGCAUAGACGAUCUAGAUCUUCCAAAUACAUUGCUUGAGAUAUGCUUUGAACCCACUGAAAAAAAUGAUUAACAACGAUUUCAACUUCUGUUGGAUUGAGGUGAUCAAGAAUACAUUAGUGGGUUCAUGCAUGUUCAUUGUUAUUUCAUUUUCUCUUGAUAUGAGUUUUGUAUCGGUGUAUAUAUAUGUUUUAUAUUAGUGUGUAUAUGAUUUUGUAAAGAGAACAAAUAUAUCAAAUGUAAAUGGAAUAGAAUUUAUUAUGACA
Raphanus sativus (radish) is the source of this 495-nucleotide long non-coding RNA. RefSeq lists it as uncharacterized. Lineage: Eukaryota; Viridiplantae; Streptophyta; Magnoliopsida; Brassicales; Brassicaceae. The record is from RefSeq and is a predicted model, not a curated record. The transcript has 2 exons.